CGGGGUGAGUAAUGUCUGGGAAACUGCCUGAUGGAGGGGGAUAACUGCUGGAAACGGUAGCUAAUACCGCAUAACGUCGCAAGACCAAAGAGGGGGACCUUCGGGCCUCUUGCCAUCGGAUGUGCCCAGAUGGGAUUAGCUAGUAGGUGGGGUAACGGCUCACCUAGGCGACGAUCCCUAGCUGGUCUGAGAGGAUGACCAGCCACACUGGAACUGAGGCACGGUCCAG
Molecule: ribosomal RNA, 229 nt
Filed under: uncultured bacterium
Lineage: Bacteria
Description: partial 16S ribosomal RNA
Rfam family: Bacterial small subunit ribosomal RNA
Source: RNAcentral